UUAAUUGAAGAGUUUGAUCAUGGCUCAGAUUGAACGCUGGCGGUAGGCUUAACACAUGCAAGUCGAGCGGUAACAGACAUUUUGAUUUUGCUUGCAAAAUCUCGUGCUGACGAGCGGCGAACGGGUGAGUAACGCGUAGGAAUCUACCUAGUAGAAGGGGAUAGCCCG
RNAcentral lists this ribosomal RNA (168 nucleotides) under Gammaproteobacteria bacterium. Its description in RNAcentral is "partial 16S ribosomal RNA". It matches the Rfam family "Bacterial small subunit ribosomal RNA", at positions 1 to 150 of the family's 1533-position model. Lineage: Bacteria; Pseudomonadati; Pseudomonadota; Gammaproteobacteria. The record is from RNAcentral.